GUUCCCCUCUCCCACAUGAAAUCAGUCCCUAGCCAUGCCACCCCACGGGGUGCAGGGUGCUCCCCUGGGCACUCGGUGGGAGGGGGUGUGGGAGAGGCAGCGCUGGUGGGCCAGGUCACCCUGGGAACUGCGGGGUCCAGCAGAGUUUAAAGUCUGUGACUCAGGAGAUGCUGAUUUUGCUUUACAGCUUUCUGUAACUCCAGUCAUCUCUGUCCCAAACCGGAGAGGACCUCAUUUCCUGCUCAGUGCUGUGCCAGCCACAAGGUCUUUUCAUAAGGCUGCCAGGGGUGCCUGGCUGCGGGAAGGACAGUCAGUGUUUGUCACCAGGGAAUGAGCUGGCAUCAUAGCUCUAAUCUGAGUCAACAACCUGGCUAGCCCUGAGCAUGACUUCAUAAAUCAUGGUAUCUAAUUGAAAGGCACAUGCUUGUAUAUACAGUGUUGUUCAAAAAGAAAGAAAAAAAAAAUAGAAUUUAACAAAUACUUUUUUCUUUCCACUAGCCUAAUGAUCAGUCACCUGAUUGUUUCAAUUUACAUUAUUUCAUGCAGAGAAAAAAAGCAAAAGUAUAAAAACAUCUUGUAUAGCCAUAACAAAAACACAAAUGAAAAAAUUCAUCUCCUAAUGAGAGGCUUAGCCUUUUUCUAACACAUCCUUAAUAAUAGGGGAAACAAUCUUUAAGUGUUUUUAAUUUAAAUUGUUUUCAUGUUUAAUUCACUAUUGCUAAAUAAUAUUAUUAAGUGUCUAUGUAUCCAUUUAGCGUUGAGGCAUAUGAUAUUUCAAAGCAAUUGAACCAGUUUUGAAAGGAGAAAGAGUCCUGUACCGUGCCUGCAUUCACUGUUUUUUUUAAUGUUAGUUAACACACGUAUGCUGGACUGCCUUUUUUUCAUCCUUCCAGCAGAAAUGAAAAGUAAGUCUGGAACAAAAGAUCAGUUAUGUGCUUUUUGCUUCCCACACCCAAACCUCCUGCUUUAUUUUUGUAUCCAUAGGGUAUGUGUGAUCUCCUCCCAUGAGAGGCAACUCAGCAGCUCGGUCCCCUCUGCCAUCUCAGCACUGCCAGUGGAGAAGCCCAGGAGGAGCAGAGCAGUGCCUGAGCAGCAAUUUGAAUAUCCAUAUUUAACUCUUCAAACAACAGAAGACACUUCAGAACCAUGUCUUGCUGAUGCAGGGUGAGGAGUGCCCGGCAACCUUUGUGUGCUCAAGGCACAGCUUUAUCCCGGCCAUCAGUGGGACAGUGCACAUGGGAACGUGUGAUCUAUUCCUUCCUGAGCCCCAGUGAUGCCUUGCUUUGCAGUUCCUCUCGCUGGUGAGUCGCUCUUGUAAUUUCCAGUUAUGUAACCCAUCUCAUUUUGUGAAUAUGUGAAUUUAACAGCUGUCAGUGUCAGCAGCGCCUGGGAGGGGUGUGUUUUUUUUUUUUUUUUUUUUUUUUUUUUUUUGGCAAGCUGGCAUUACUCAUCAGUCUCAUGGUAGUUUUGUUUGAAAAAUGCUUGUGUUAGAAAAAGUGGAUUUAUCAGCUCAGCACUGUAUGGUGCUAGCAUGCAGCUCAACAAAAGACAAGUGCUCAUUUCAGUAACGCUUGCAGCAUUUCAUGGGGCCCCCAAAUAGGCUGAACAAGGCUUCUCUGGCAACUAACCCCAAGUACAGUGGGAAGCUAUUAAAGUGGCAGUGUCACUGCUUGGAAAAGGGAUUUGGUUUUCUUCCAUCAUUUAUUGCUGCAGGGGGUUUUUUGUUUGUUUGUUUGUUUUCUUAUUAAAGACUAUGAACUGCACUAGGAAUUUCCCUGAAUAUUGGAGAAAAAAGAGGCUUUACUGAAAAUUUGUGCUUCUAGAAGUGACUUUUUUCUCUCAUGGUUUCUUGGAAGAUAGAUCAAAAUGUCAGUCUGCCCUUCCCAAAGUGGAUCUGUUUUAUGGGGAAAAAUAAGAUACUUGCAGCUUUUUCAAGUAAUACUACAAAGUCAGUGGUACUGCAGCCUUUCAGGGAGAAAUCAUUCUCUGUUCAAAUCAGUUUAUUUUCAGAAUGAUUUGCUGCACUUACACUUUCUUUUGUAGCUGCUCUUCCAGAAUGCAAAUACAACCUGGAGAGUUUUCUGUAUUUAAUUGAAUGUGUCAGGUGGUUGAAAUCAUGUUUUAAAACCAGCAUUACAUACUGCAAAUGUGUCAAACCCUUUGUUCAC
Molecule: long non-coding RNA, 2168 nt
Filed under: Cyanistes caeruleus (blue tit)
Lineage: Eukaryota; Metazoa; Chordata; Aves; Passeriformes; Paridae
Description: lncRNA (ENSCCEG00000007672.1)
Source: RNAcentral